This 301-nucleotide ribosomal RNA is filed under the name uncultured bacterium. RNAcentral describes it as "partial 16S ribosomal RNA". It matches the Rfam family "Bacterial small subunit ribosomal RNA", at positions 509 to 809 of the family's 1533-position model. The record is from RNAcentral.
CAGUCGCCGCGGUAAUACGUAGGUGGCAAGCGUUGUCCGGAAUUAUUGGGCGUAAAGCGCGCGCAGGCGGAUAGGUCAGUCUGUCUUAAAAGUUCGGGGCUUAACCCCGUGAUGGGAUGGAAACUGCCAAUCUAGAGUAUCGGAGAGGAAAGUGGAAUUCCCAGUGUAGCGGUGAAAUGCGUAGAUAUUAGGAAGAACACCAGUGGCGAAGGCGACUUUCUGGACGAAAACUGACGCUGAGGCGCGAAAGCCAGGGGAGCGAACGGGAUUAGAUACCCGCGUAGUCCCUGUCUCUUAUACA